RNAcentral lists this ribosomal RNA (801 nucleotides) under uncultured bacterium. RNAcentral's name for it is "bacterial SSU rRNA". It matches the Rfam family "Bacterial small subunit ribosomal RNA", at positions 71 to 873 of the family's 1533-position model. The record is from RNAcentral.
AACCGCCCUUCGGGGUGGGAGUACAGCGGCGCACGGGUGAGUAGCGCGUGGGUAAUCUACCUCUGUCUGGGGGAUAACACACUGAAAAGUGUGCUAAUACCGCAUAUCUCGGCGGGGCUGCGGCCUUGUCGAUAAAGGUGGCCUCUUCAUGAAAGCUGCCGGGCGGAGAUGAGCCCGCGUCCCACUAGCUAGUUGGUAGGGUAAAGGCCUACCAAGGCAACGAUGGGUAGCUGGUCUGAGAGGACGGCCAGCCACACUGGAACUGGAACACGGUCCAGACUCCUACGGGAGGCAGCAGUGAGGAAUAUUGCGCAAUGGGGGCAACCCUGACGCAGCAACGCCGCGUGGACGAAGAAGGCCUUCGGGUUGUAAAGUCCUUUUCUGAGGGGCGAUAAUGACGGUACCUCAGGAAUAAGUCCCGGCUAACUACGUGCCAGCAGCCGCGGUAAAACGUAGGGGGCGAGCGUUAUCCGGAAUUACUGGGCGUAAAGCGCACGUAGGUGGCGCUAUAAGUUGGAUGUGAAAGCUCUCGGCUUAACUGAGAGAGGUCAUUCAAAACUGUAGUGCUUGAGGCUGAAAGAGGAGAGUGGAAUUCCCGGUGUAGUGGUGGAAUGCGUAGAUAUCGGGAGGAACACCAGUGGCGAAAGCGGCUCUCUAGUUCACGCCUGACGCUGAGGUGCGAAAGCGUGGGUAGCGAACGGGAUUAGAUACCCCGGUAGUCCACGCCGUAAACGAUGGAUACUAGGUGUAGGGGGUUACUAACUCCCUCUGUGCCGAAGCUAACGCGUUAAGUAUCCCGCC